RNAcentral lists this ribosomal RNA (433 nucleotides) under uncultured bacterium. Its description in RNAcentral is "partial 16S ribosomal RNA". It matches the Rfam family "Bacterial small subunit ribosomal RNA", at positions 29 to 507 of the family's 1533-position model. The record is from RNAcentral.
AACGAACGCUGGCGGCAUGCCUAACACAUGCGAGUCGAACGAGACCUUCGGGUCUAGGGGCGCACGAGUGCGUAACGCGUGGGAACCUGCCCUUAGGUUCGGAAUAACUCCCCGAAAGGGGUGGUAAUACCGGAUAAUGUCUUCGGACCAAAGAUUUAUCGCCUUUGGAUGGGCCCGCGUUGGAUUAGCUAGUUGGUAAGGUAAAAGCCAACCAAGGCGACGAUCCAUAGCUGGUCUGAGAGGAUGAUCAGCCACACUGGGACUGAGACCCGGCCCAGACUCCUACGGGAGGCAGCAGUGGGGAAUAUUGGACACUGGGCGAAAGCCUGAUCCAGCAAUGCCGCGUGAGUGAUGAAGGCCUUAGGGUUGUAAAGCUCUUUUACCCGGGAUGAUAAUGACAGUACCGGGAGAAUAAGCUCCGGCUAACUCCGUG